CGCCCUUUUGUCCCUAGAGGGGAAAAGUUGUAACAAAGUUGGCGUAUUGGAAAUGCGCCUGGACCUAAAAA
Molecule: ribosomal RNA, 71 nt
Filed under: Oreaster reticulatus
Lineage: Eukaryota; Metazoa; Echinodermata; Asteroidea; Valvatida; Oreasteridae
Description: partial 12S ribosomal RNA
Source: RNAcentral